UAGAGUAUUAAGUCUAAGAGGAAAUUUUCCCCUAAGAACACUACCUUCAGGGAUUUCAGGUUUGGUUUCAUUACAUCAUCUUGAUCUAUCAUCGACUAACAUAACUGGGUUGCCGCAAGAGCUGAAGGCGUUGGAGAAGUUGAGAUAUUUGAACUUGGACUAUACACGGUUUUUGUCUAUAAUUCCACAUCAAUUGAUAUCUGGUUUUUCAAAGUUGGAGGUACUCAGGUUGCUUUCACGCGGUCGCUGGAGCGUAAUAGAAGGUAACGUUCUAUGUGAUGAUGCUGAACCUUUGAUGAAGGAAUUGCUGGGUUUGAAGCAUUUAAAUGUUUUAAGCUGGACCUUCCGAAGUUCACUUGCUGUCCAAAAGUUUUUGAAAUAUCCAAAGCUGGUGAGCAUCACUCAAUCUGUAAUGGUUUGCCAAUGUGAAAGUCCACCGUUCAAUGUCUUACAUCUAGCAUACAUGGAGAAUCUUCAGGAGUUACGCAUUUCAGACAGUAAUUUGGAAGAGAUGAAGACUGACAGCACAGAAGAGGUAAAGAAACUUUUUCAAAGUGGUUUCCGCAGUCUCGACAGAGUUGUCAUAUGGAGUUGCCAAAAAAUGAAAGACUUAACGUGGCUAGUUUUUGUUCAAAUUCUCAAGCAGCUGCGUAUAGUCUUUUGUACAGAAAUGGAAGAAAUAAUUAGUGUUGAUAAAUUGAGAGAUAUUUCGAAGAUAAUCGGGUCAGAGCAUAACUUUUUUGCACAACUCGAAUCUCUAACCAUAAAGUGGGGAAGAAAUUUAAAGAGCGUUUACCCGAAUCCCCUGCCCUUUCCAAAGCUGAAGAAAAUUGAAGUACGUGAAUGCCCACAGCUGAAGAAGCUCCCACUCAAUUCCAGCAGCGCGAAGGAACGUCGAGUUGUCAUCGAGGGGUCGAAAAAAUGGUGGGAAGAGCUACAAUGGGAGGACCAAGCCACCCAAAAUGCUUUCUCUUCCGGUGUCGUACUUGGGGAUGAUUUUCAUUAAUAUGUUUGAAUAUGUAUUUCUUUUCUUUUUCUUUUUUUUUUUAAUUUUCAUUAGAUUUAAUUGCAUCUUGUUGUUGUUGUCUGGUGUGUCAAUCGUUAUCUAUUUUCAGUUAAUAAAAUUUCAGCAGUGGAUUCUUGGUUUUAGAAUCCUCCCACUGGAAAGAAUUUCUCCUUUGGCUUGAAUGCGACCUUUUUACUCGUCGACAAAAUUGUAUUUGUCGCUUAAGUCUUGUUUGUUUUAAAAUGCUGGCAUAUUUAUAGAGUGGGAACUCAGAUGCUGAACUCAUAGUAAAUAUUUAUUUAAUUUGUUAUAAUUAUAUUUGGUGAGAUAUUUAUUCAAUAAUUGCCCUAUCACUUUGUGCAUGAUCACAGAAUUUUGUACUUCCGUCUGUGAAAUAACUUUUGGAAAAGGAAAUUAAUUUUUUUAAGUAACGGUAAAUAUUUUAAAUUUUUAUUUUAAAUUUUAUUUUAAAUAAUAUAGUAUGUAAUGUGUCAUUUAUUUAGUGAUUGAUAAUUUAAUAUAGGAUUUAAAUAAAUUAAUUAUGCUAUUUUAUUAUUUAAUUAAUAAAUAUUAUAUAAUUUAAAAUAGAUUUUUGAGAUAAAAAUUAUAAAAGUAAAAUUCUACUCAACAGACUAAAUUUAAAAUGAUGUGAUUGGCAGGUAAGACUUAAGAAUUAGACAAAAUUUCUCAUUCAACAGCUUGUAGAAAAUUUAUACACUAGGCCUUAGCUAAACUUGGACUUGUCGUAUGUUUGAAGUAUUCGACGAUAAUCAUAUCUGCAUUUUUAUUUUAUUUUUUAUUUUUGGUUUGUUUAGGGCUUUUCAUCGGUUUUCGUCUUGGUCUUUGUCCUGGUCUUGGCGUCUUGCUAUCAAAUCAAGUGUUCUCUUCUCCUAUCCUCUAAUGAAAGUGCAGGGCCUCAACUAUUUGUUACUGCUAUCACUUUAGAGGUUGAUGCUAAUGUCCGAAGGUCACGUUUAAUUUGCUUGAAUGUGACCUUUACUUUGGUUGACAAAAUUGUGAUUGUCACAAAGAACAAACUAUAAAAGUGCAGUUUAAAUCGAACACUGAAUUCCCUAUGGAAAUUUUCGCACCCGUAUAUAUAUUCUACAUUAUUUGGUUGCAAAGACUAUAAUUAACAAGAAGCUAAUAUAUAUAGUAGAGAGAGAAAUAACAAGUUCAAUGUUGGUAAAAUUUUAUCUUCCCUUCACUGCUCUCCUUUGCUGCAAUCAAGUGGCCUCACUUACAAAUUUUGACUUUUAAUUAUUUCAAUUAACACAAGAAAAAAAGGGCAAUAUAGUUUACAUUACUCUAUCAGCCUUAUAUAAAGGGUAUAAAUAUGAGAGUGCGUUUGGAAUUGAAGUCGGACACUUGUCGCUUAAAAGCUACAGUAGCAAAGUGUUUGGUAAAUACUAAUUGUUGUGUCUUGAAAGAUAUGUUGAUAUGAUUUUUCACUUGUAUAAUAGAGAAUUUAUUAUUUUAUUAUUAAUAAUUUCGUUAAAAUUAUUAUUUAAAAUUUAUAUUUAUUAAAUAUUAUUAACUUUUGUUUUAUAGUUACAAUUUUUUUUUUUUACAGCAACUGUACCUUAAAAGUUAUAACACUUCAAUUCCAAACGUACCUUAAGUCUGUAAGGCAUAAGUUUUCACUCUUCGGGAAUCUAAGGAGAUUAGGGCAAGAGCUGCACAUUUGUAGUCUCAAAUUCAUUUGACAUCAGCCAAUUUAAUGUCUAUGGACGGGUAUAAAGGACGUCACAGACGGUUAAAGAACAAGGUGUUUGAUGGAAAUGUCAAGAAGUUCGAUGAAAUGUCUCACCUACACAACCAAGCCACUUAACAUUGCAGUCUUAUAAUACAAUUCCUACCUUCUCUUCCAUUUUCACCAACAUAAUUCUUUCUUUCUCACUUUAUUUUCUUCCUUGAAAUUUUUGUUAACAAAAAUGGGUAACAUCAUUCUCAUGCGUGCUUCUUAUCACCAGACUCAAUUCUUGCAGUUUUAUUUUAUUUUAUUUUUCCUUCGUGGAGAUGCUAAAAUAUAUAUGAGAUCUAAAAAGCUAAUCUUGAUGAGUUGCAGAAUCCAAUGCAGAAUUUGAAAGUUACAAAAGAUUAUAAAUACUAUUUUAACUUGUAAGCUUCCAUUGCUAUACAGUGAGGUAUGUCUAGAUAUCAUUUUGGUCUUUUAUAUAUUGGGUUCCAGUGAAAGACUUUUGUUCUAGUUGAAUUUAAUUUUGUCUUUGUAUUUACAGACAAAAUAUUAGGGACAUUUAUCAUACAUAUUUGGCUAGUUCGCCGUGGAAAAAUAAUAAUAGUUGAAAAGACAUAGGGUACUUUUUAUUUUCCUUUAUAUUACUAAUAGAUUUCCCACGCGCAACAGACGAAGUCAUUGCUGCUUCAAUAAUUGCCCUAUCACUGUGUUCAUCAUCACAAAUUUCUUUAUUACGUUUGUGAAAUAACCAUUGCAUAAAAAAAUUACUCCAACUUUUUAACUAAUAAUAGAUAUCUCAAAUUUUAUUUUCAGAAUAUGGUAUGUAAUGUAAGCGAUCGAUAGUUCUUUAUAAAAUAUAUAAAUAAAUUAAUAGUGUUAUCUUAGUGUCUAAUAUAUAUAAAUGACUUUCUCCAUAUAUUGCACUAUUGAUAUGGGCUAAAGUUUUAUACUAUGAGACCCAAUUUCUAUAAUUUACACUAUAAGUUAAAAGUAUUUAGAAAAAUACUAUUGCAAAUCAAAAGGUAUUAUCUAUUUUAUACCUAAAGCAUUUUCACUAUUUAAGACUAGUAAAAUUUCUAUAUUAUUAUAAUAUUAGAAUCAAACACCAAUAAGCGAGUAAAUCAGGUGGAAUAAGAAUGUUCUAACUUAACCAAGGUCCUCGGUUUGAAACUUAGAAAUGCAACUACAUUAAAUACUUAUUGGGAGAGAUUUGCCGCUUUAGUGGUUCUAUCCGGCUCGAAUCUAGAUUAGUCGGGGAUCUAAUGUGGUCUUUGGAUACUAGAUGAUUUAAUAUACCGAUAAUAUUGGAACCAAACUCAUUUACAAUUAUGAAGAGGUUAUAAUUUAAUAGAGGCAUAGUAACAAACUAUUAAUAGAGAGUAUAAAAUUUAAUGUAUAAACAAAAUUCUAUAAUUUACACUAUAAGUUGCAAGUAUUUAGGUCAAUACUAUUGCAAAUCAGAAGAUAUUAUAUAUUUUAUGCCGAAAAUAUUUCCACUAUUUAAGGCUAGUAAAACUUCUAUAUAAUUAUAAUAUUGGAACCAAACACCAACAAGCGAGUAAAUCAACUAGAAUGGAAAUGUUCUAACGUCAAGGUCCUCGGUUCAAAACUUAGAAAUGCAACUACAUUAAAUAUUUAUUGGGAGAGAUUUGCCGCUCUAGUAGUUCUAUCCGGGUCGAAUCUGGAUUAGUCGGGAAUCUAAUGUGGUCUUUGGAUACUAGAUGAUUUAAUGUACCAAUAAUAUUGGAACCAAACUAAUUUACAAUUAUGAGGAGGUUAUAAUUUAAUAGAGGCGUAGUAACAAACUAUUAAUAGAGCGUAUCAAAUUUAAUAUUGGAAUCCGAUGAUUGGUUGCAACAUAAGAUAUUUGUAAGCUUAGUUAAAGGUUCAUUAAAAAUUAUAGAGAUAUAUAAUUUCGCAGUCGACGAAGCCAUGCAUGAGGUUAAGGCAAGUGAUGGAAUGACUUGCGUUACAAAAGAGGUAUGUGAAGUUGCACUAUAAAAAUAAAAUAAAUUUGUAUUUUCAAGUAGUGAAGGUGUAGUUAGUUUAUUUGCGGUAGCAGUUUCACAGCUGACAGAUGAACAAAGAGUGGCUGCUUGUCAAAUGGGCUUUGGUAGUUUGCUACAAUUGAACCGUGGCAAGCUAAAAAGGAAACUUUGUGGCUAGUUAAUUGAGAUGAUUGAUACUUUGAGGUACAUUUUAGAGUUGAAUGGUAUUAGCUUUCAAACAAGAUCAUCAAAGAAACUCUACCAACUAGGAAAUUUAAACUUAAUCUAUGCUCCGCAAAUUCGAAUAUUCUCUAAUAUGAAACUACUUUUAUGUGUUUUAUUAUUCCUAGCUUUUACCGACUUGGUAACGUUGUUAUGGAAGCACGACAACUAUUAUGUCCGUGUAAUUUUUAUUGUAUCUUUUGUUAUGUCAUGAUAUCGAAGCUUAGUUUUAUGACUCUAACUACUAAGAACUGCAAUUGCAGCAUCUUUUGAAUAUUACAUAUGUGCUUGUAGUAUCUCGACGGAUUAAAACCUGCUAUUUAAGUUCUUCUACCCCUCCCCCCCUUCAUUCUUUCAUUUAUACUUGCUGCACUAUUUACUUCGCACUCUGUAAAGCCAGAUGAAAGCUUGUUCAUUUAUGUUCACUUGCAAUUCAAAAGCACAGUUUAUUUCAACUGUCAAAUUGACAACUUGCACGUAUAGAUUUCAGUCGAAACAAGGUUAUUGGUCGAUCAAGAAAUUGAAUCCAUAUGGCCGUUCCAGCGUUAUUCAACUACCUAAUAUCAAAUAUAUAAAUUAAUUCAACCCACUUCUGUGUCAAAGGCAUGGAACAAAUUAUGAAAGAUUUUUCAGCUAUCAUAAAUUCGAACGAGUGUAGUUUGUAUCCUUUCGAACUUAGACAGAUUUUCCUUCCAUUAACCUUACAGUGUUAGUAAUCCUAUUACUUGUUUUUAAAGCUUGAAUAGUAUACCGAAAUUUUUGGUUUUUGCAACAUAAACUUGUAUGUAAUGUACAUUUUAUAGUUCUUUACAAAUUAAUUGCUGCUAAAAUAAUUGUUUCGACUACUAUAUUUAUUGUUAUAAUAGAUAAACAUUUUCUUGCAACUCAAACAGUUCCAAUGGCAUGAUCUGCAUCCCCCGUUUGCCUCUUGGGCUACGAACCUGCUUAACAGCUGCACCAUCUUGCUCCUUUUCAUCAAACGGCAACUUCGCUGCAGACAAAAAGAGGGGGUACACUGCCCAGGGGCACCAUAAACGCAGCCCAAAAAGAUGAUUUUGUCUUUCCAUGUCUUAGUAUUUUAACCAAAAAUAAUAAUAAUAAUUCUUUACAUCAUCAAUGAUUGCACUUGUAAGCCAGGCAAUAGUUUUUUUAUUAAAUAAAAAAUUAAUGUUAAAUUUUUUUUUUUUUUUUUUUUUUUUUAUCUAGCUAUCAUUGACUUAAUAUUUUGAAUCUUCAUCCAAAGUUAAGGCACAAAACUUUUAUUCUAAAUAAAUAUUCUCAAUAUAAAUUUAUCACUUAAAUAAUAAAUAAUAAGAUUUAACAUUAAUUCUGUCGUUACUGAAAUGAAUUGUAAAUUUUAUAUGACGUGUAAACGUAUCAUUAUGUUCUUGAUAUUUGACAUAUGAAUUAUAAAGCAACAAAUGUAUCAUAUUUUAUUUCGGUAUUGUGCUUCUCCAUAUUUGCUUAAUUCUUUUCGUUGUACUCAUUGCUUCUCUUCCUCUUUUCGUCAACGACAAUGGGUAACCUAAUCUCAACCUUCUUACCAGCAGACUUAUUUGAUCGAAUUUCAAACUGCGUUGGUGAACAAGCAAAAUAUGUAUGGGGUCUCGAAAAAAAUCUUCGGAUCUUGGAGACUGAAUUGCACAAAUUGACUCGAGCAAGGGCCGAUCUGAAGACCAGGGUUGAGGUCGAACAACAACGACCUCGAACCAGACGAACGAACCAGGUCGCAGGGUGGCUUGAAGAUGUGCAAAAUCUGGAAACUGAAUUUGCCGAGCUGGAACGAGUCAGAGCUCAAGAAAUGGAUAGAUUGUGCCUUGGAGGCCUCUGUUCCAAAAACUUCGUUUUAAGCUACAAUUACGGGACUAAGGUGGUCGAGUUGACGGAUCGAGUGAUCAAUUUAAAGAAAGACGGAGAAAAAAUUGAAGUCGUUGUUGAGAAGGCGCCGGAUGGUGCAGCAAUUGAAUUACCUCUUGAUCACACAGUUGUUGGUCAAGAACUAUUACUUGGUCAAGUUUGGAGAUGUAUCACUGAUCAGGAAAAGAACAGGGGAAUUAUCGGCUUGUAUGGUAUAGGGGGAGUCGGCAAAACUACCCUUUUAAAACAAGUCAACAACAACUUCUGCCAUCAACAGCAUAAUUUUGAUGUUGUUAUCUGGGCGGCUGUGUCAACACUUCAAGAUGACAUUGGAAAAAGGAUUGGCUUUUCAGAAGACAGAAACUGGAAGGAAAAAAGUCUUCAAGACAAGGCUGUGGACAUCGCUAGCAUUCUAAGCGGAAAGAAGUUUGUGUUGUUAUUAGAUGAUAUAUGGGAGCCCAUUGAUUUAACACAGCUGGGUGUCCCUCUUCAAAAUCUAAAUGAUGGGUCCAAAAUAGUCUUGACAACUCGUUCAGCUGGGGUUUGCGAUCAAAUGGACGCUGAAAAGGUGGAAGUGUCUAGUUUGGCACAUGAUGAAGCCUGGAAAUUAUUUCAGGAGAUGAUCGAAAGAUCCACUCUUGACAGUCAUACCAGUAUUCCAGGGCUAGCCGAAACCCUGGCAAGAGAGUGUGGUGGGUUGCCGCUAGCGCUUAAAACAGUGGGUCGAGCCAUGAAAAGCCAAAGGAAAGUUGGAGAUUGGAAACGUGCAAUUCACAAAAUGACAACAUCAGCUUCUAAAUUCUCAGGUAUGAAAGAAGAGGUGUUUUCGCGUUUAAAGUUCAGCUAUGAUAGUUUGUCUACGGAUGAACUUCGUUCCUGUCUCCUGUAUUGCUGUUUGUAUCCUGAAGACUACGAAAUUCCUAAAAGGCAAUUGAUUGAUUAUUGGAUUAGUGAAGGAUUUGCGUGUGAUUUUGAUGAUGGAUGCGAUUUUAUUGAUGACCUUCUUCAUGCAUGCUUAUUGGAGGAAGAAGGCGAUGAUCAUGUAAAGACGCACGAUAUGAUUCGUGAGAUGUCAUUAUGGAUAGCGUGCACGGUAGACAAGGAGGAGCAGAACUUUCUGGUUCGCGCUGGAGUUGAAUUGACCGAAGCACCAAAGGUUGAAGAAUGGGAAGGUGCCAAACGGGUAUCUCUGAUGGAAAAUAAAAUUGAAAGCCUAUCGGAAAUUCCCACGUGUCCGCGUCUCGUAACUUUACUGCUGGAUGAAAAUCGGAUUGAGGAGAUCACUGAUGGCUUCUUUCAAUCUAUGUCGUCUCUUAGAGUAUUAAGUCUAAGAGGAAAUUUUCCCCUAAGUACACUACCUUCGGGGAUUUCAGGUUUGGUUUCAUUGCAUCAUCUUGAUCUAUCAUCGACUCACAUAACUGGGUUGCCGCAAGAGCUGAAGGCGUUGGAGAAGUUGAGAUAUUUGAACUUGGACUAUACAGAGUACUUGUCCAUAAUUCCACAUCAAUUGAUAUCUGGCUUUUCAAAGUUGGAGGAACUCAGGUUGUUUGCGUCCGGUCGCUGGGGCGUAAUAGAGGAAGAAGAAGGUAACGUUCUAUGUGAUGAUGCUGAACCUUUGAUGAAGGAAUUGCUGGGUUUGAAGCAUUUAAAUGUUUUAAGCUGGUCCUUCCGAAGUUCACUUGCUGUCCAAAAGUUUUUGAAAUAUCCAAAGCUGGUUAGCAUCACUCAAUCUGUAUGGGUUGAAUGUGGCAUGUAUACAAGGCCACCGUUCAAUGUCUUACAUCUAGCAUAUAUGGAGAAUCUUCAGGAGUUGCGUCUUUCUCAGAGUGAUUUGGAGGAGAUGAAGAUUGACAGCACAGAAGAGGUGAAGAAGCUUUUUCAAAGUGGUUUCCGCAGUCUCGACACAGUUGAUCUAUUUUAUUGCCAAAAAGCGAAGGACUUAACGUGGCUUGUUUUUGUUCAAAACCUCAAGGAGCUGCGUAUAGUGUAUUGUGAAUACGUGGAAGAAAUUAUCGGGGCUGAUAAAUUGAGAGAUAUUUCAGAGAUAGUGGGGUCAGAGCAUAACGUUUUCGCAGAACUCGAAUUUCUAUCCUUAUGGGGGGGAAUAAAUUUAAAGAGCGUUUACCCGAAUCCCCUGCCCUUUCCAAAGUUGAAGAAAAUUCAAGUACUUCAUUGCCGACAGCUGAAGAAGCUCCCACUCAAUUCCAGCAGCGCGAAGUUACGUCGAGCUGUCAUCGAGGGAACGAAAAAGUGGUGGGAAGAGCUACAAUGGGAGGAUCAAGCCACCCAAAAUGCUUUCUCUUCCGGUGCCGUACUUACUGAGUUUCCUUUUUAUUAAUAUGUUUUAAUAUGUAUUUCUUUUUCUUUUCUUUUUUUAAUUUUCAUUAGAUUUAAUUGCAUCUUGUUCUUGUUGUCUGGUGUGUCAAUCGUUCCCUACUUUCAGUUAAUAAAAUUUCAGCAGUGGAUUCUUGGUUUAUUAAUGUUUAUAUAACUGAAUUGUUCAGCAGAUGUACUCUGCACGACUAACACAGAAAUAAACACAGAAAUAAAUAUAUGUAAGGGGUUACAGGACUGACUCUGCUUCUGGCUUCUAAGGAGAAAGAGGGGAAAAUAAACAUUUUAUCUUCCCUUAACUGCUCUCCUUUGGUUUGAAUGUGAACUUAACACUCUUUUAUUAUUAAAAUUUAAUUAUUUGGUUGUAUAAUAUAUUUCUCCAAUAAACGAAGAAUGAUAAAGGAGCAACUAAAAAAACCCAUCAAAAUAUUUCACCAAUGAAAAGAUUCAUGAGAAAUAAACAUUAUAAUCCGAACAAAUAAAUCAAUUAGUCAAUAUAUCAUUUAGCCGAAUUAAAGACGCUGCUUGCGCUUCGUAGUUCUGAGCUUAGAAUCAAGUAGAGAACUGAAUAUGAAAUUUUUAAUUGCUGAGAAUAUGAAUUUGAGGUUGAUGGACGACUUGAAAGAGAGGGACAAGAAAGAAUGAUACAGAGCAGGUGGCUGGCAAAAGGGACCUUAUGACGAUCUUCUUCAGUACAGCUAUGAUGCCGCUUCCACCUUCAAUUGAAUGUCAGAAAAUUCAAAGUUUGUCAAAAGAGGAUGGUAAAUUAAGCUGUUUUUUUUUUUUCUUUUUUGCAAAAUUUACCAAGUGAAUUAAUCCAUUAUUUUAUCUAUCAAUCAGUACACAAUCUACAUUACCCCACGCUAACAAAACACUGACUAUAAAUCUAUGACUAUACAAUGCGCACUUUGGUUACUGCCCCAGCCCUCUUACCCAAAAGAACCACAAAAGCAACGAAAAACUAAAUUGAUUACAUAAUCAAAUCAAGUUCUUCUUAGCUACUGUGAUCGAUUUGUCCAGCACCAUCAGUUAAUUUCUCUAGUUUUCAGCAAAAAUGGUCGAGUUCUUGAGUCUUCUUUGCACGUUUCAUCUCAUUUAUUCUGUCGAUAAAGCUUAUACACAUCAUCCGCAACGACAACAAAUUAAAUUAAUAUGUGUCGAGUUUUGGAGCCAGAGCCAGCGGUGCAAGCGCAAGAGAAAGGGACUUCACACAAGAAUUUGCCAGACCAUGGGCUACAGAAAGGUGCCUCACUUCACGGACGCGGAAUUUGGUUGGCUCCUGGGCCAUUAAGGGUGAAUGCAUCUUUCUUUUUAUGUGAAUUUAAUUAUUGAACCCGGUAUCUUGAAUAAAUAUAAAUUUGACUGUAGCACCAAGUAUCAAUGAUUGCAAAAUGUAAAUUUGACAUAUUGUGUGGUUAAAUCAUCUUGUACUAAUCGUUUAUGUUAAUUUAUGGAGGCCUUAAUGUCCAAGGCAUACGUAAAGGGGUACAGGACUGACUCUGCUUCUGGCUUCUAAGGAGAAUGAGGGGAAAAUUUUAUAAACAUUUGUGGAGUGGCCGUAUAAAGGACGUGUGGUUCUCAAUCCAUUUCACAUUUGGCAUUGUAAUGUUUAUGGACUCAUAUAAAUGAUGUCACACAAAUAGUUAAACGAAGAAGGUGUUUGAUGAAAACGAAAGGGCCUUUUUCUUUUUUUAAAUCCCGCUAAAGGUUAUAAUUAACAACAAAUUAAUAAUAGAAGAGAGAGAAAUACCAAGUUCAAUACGGUAAUAUUUUAUCUUCCUUUUAACUGCUCUCCUUUGGCUUAUAAUGCGACCUUUACACUCGUGGACAAAAUUGUAUUUGUCGCUUAAGUCUUGCUUGUUUUAAAAUGCUGGCAUAUUUAUGGAGUGGGAACCCAGAUGCUGAACUCAUAGUAAAUAUUUAUUUAAUUUGUUAGAAUUAUUUUUGGUGGGAUAAUUUUAAAUAUUAAUUUAACAAGAUAGUGAUGUUUGCCUUGCCCUACAUGGAAAAAAUAAUAAUAAUUAAAGUUUUUUCUGUUCCUUUAUAUUAGUAAUAGAUUUCAGAUGGGAAACAGAAAAUUUAUUUCUGUUUCAAUAAUUACCAUAUCACUGUGUGCGUGCGUGAUCACAUAAUUUUGUACUACCGUCUGUGGAAUAACUUUAGGAAAAGAAAAUUAAUUUUUUUUAAGUAACAAUAAAUAUUUUAAAUUGUUUUCUUCUCUUAUCAAUUGUUUUUUUCUCCUAUCUUCCAAUGAAAGUGCAGGACCUCAAUUAUUUUAAUAGAGAUGUAGUAAUAAAUUAUUAGGGGAUCCAUAAAAUAAAUAUACAUGGUUUCAAAAAAGUUAGCACAUGCUUGUUACAAAUAUAAAAAAUUAUCUUAAAAGUCUCGGAACUUUUGUGUUCUCUUUAAUAUUUUUUUCUUAUGUUGUUAUUGUACUAUAUGGAUACAAGGGUGCGUUUGGUACGUUGUAUUAUAUUAUGUUGUAUUGCAUUAUUUUAAUAUAGGUAUAUUACAUUAUGUUGUGUUGUAUUAGUAAUGUAUUAUAAUAAUGUUGUACAAUGUUUGGUACUAUACUGUAUUGUAUUAAUUUUUAAUUAAUAUUAUUCAAAUGUAUUCAUAUUUAAAUAUUUAUUAUUAGUUAUAUUAAAUUAUUUAAAAAUAACUAGUUUAAUUAUUUUAAUAUAAUUAAAUAAUAUUAUAAUAUAUUAUAUUAUUUAAGUAUUUAUUAUUAGUUAUAUUAACUUAUUAAAAAUUAAUCAAUUAUAUAUAUUAAUUAAUAUAAUUUUACAUAUUAAUUAAUAUAAUAUAAUUAAAUAAUACAUUUUUUAGUUGUACAUUUACUAUAAUAAAAAUUAAAAUAUAAUAUAAUAUUAAAUUAAAAAUUAUAUUCAUUUAUUAUUAUUACAAAGUAUAAAAAAAAAAAAAAAAGGAAGCUAAAGCUAAUGCGGUAACUGGACACAUUAGCUAAACCCGACUAUAACAUAUGUCGGGUUUAGCUAAUACAACCAUUUGGUACCUCAGACAUGGUGCUGCAUUGCUAAUGCAAUGUAAUCCCAGGUAAAGAGGGGUACCAGACAACCCCCAAGUUCACUUAAUGUAACAUAACAUACUUUUUUUUUCUAUAUAUAUAUAUACACUACGUGGAAGUGAGCUCCUUAAGGUGAGAUUUAGCAAAAUUAUAAAUUAUUACAGCAUGAAAUUUAUUUUUAUUUAUAAUUGGCCUAAUAUAAAUUAGGACCAGUACUUUUAUAGCUAUAUGAAAUUAUUUUUAUAUAAAAUAUCACUACAUAAAUGUUUUAUUACAAUAUUAAUCUCUUUUUUUUAUUGUAUUUAUCUCUUCAUAAUCUUUUCCUUUUUAUAAAAAAAAAAAAUCAACUAAAAGAUUCAUCAACAUCUCAUUCCAACAAUCUACUAGCGAAAAUGAGUGUCCAUGCUUUUGAACCAAGGCCCGAUAUGUGAGGGAGAGAUUGUUGGGUUGUCUUACAUCGGUUGUGAACUAGGAUGGUGGUGAUUUUACAAGUGUGAGGGAAAGUCUCACCCCUUAUCCAUCUUUUGGGUUGGGAUUGAAUGAGACCCAAAACCGCUUAACAUGAAUUCUAUCACUGGGAUUUUUACCCAGUAUAACAAACAUAACAACACAAUGAAUUAUCAAUUUAUCACGUAAUGGCUCUAACUUUAGCGAUGAUCACCUUACAUGAACAUGAAAAUUAAUCCCAUUGUUUAACUCAACAAUGACGAUAAUCACUUAAACUCUUAUGCACCAAAGGAUAUACUCGCUACAGGGAAUCUUAACUCAUAAAGAUUAAUUUUAGUGGGGGGCAAAAGAGCACGAGUGAUCCAAACCACUAAACAACAUCAUAACCAACACAAAAUUUAUACUAAACAAACCAUUACCAAAACAGCAAAGCUAGACAUAAAUUUGAACAGAUACACAAGCUACAUUCAUUACCAUAAUGUAUCGACUAAAUUUCCAAGCUCUACAUUUUGAACAAAGAAUUUAUAAAAUUACAUAAUCUAAUAAAUUAAUAUAGAAAUAAAAUUGGCAUCAGAUCAAAUUACUAUUAAUGUACCUUGCAUAAACCAUUCUCUUCUAUCGGCAUUCACCUCCGCGCUCGAUUGGCUCUCCUGUGCUGCUUGUCUAAUUGAUUCAAAUCCACAUAGACAAAUUUAAGCAUAUUAAGUUUUCAAACUCAAAUCAACAGCUUUAAAAGUUACUUCACAAACAAUGAAUUUCAUUUUCGAAAUACAAAGAAUCCGUUCAGUUUAAAACAAUAAAAAAUCGUCUACGACUACUCAACUCAUGUAUGAUAACUAAAAAACGAAGGAUACCCACAAAAAUUAAAGAUAAAUUACCAAAAACCCAAAAAACUCAAGCCAAAAUUGCCAAAAAAAAAGCGAGAGAAUGGAAAUUGGCGUACCAGGGGCAGGAGAGAGGAAACGAGAAGAGGAAGAAAGAAGGGUUUUGGAGAGAGUGGGAAUUAGUGGAGGCAAAAAUGGAGAGUUUUGAGAGUGAGAUGAUUGGUGGGGUGGUGAUGGCGGUGGUGGGGUUAAUGUUCUGGAGGGUAUGCUGAAGAGAGGUCGCAAGAGAACCUCCAUAGCCUUUAAAGAGAGUUGAGUUGCUGCUUUCUUUUGCCGUGGAUGGAGAGAGAUUAAGGGAUUAGAAUUCUGUAUUGAAUUAAUUUUUUAUUAAAUAAAAAAUUAUUGUUAAAAUUUAUUUUAUUUUAAUUUUUUAUCUAGCUAUCAUUGACUUAAUAUUUUGAAUCUUUAUCCAAAGUUAAGGCACAAAAUUUUUAUUCUAAAUAAAUAUUCUCAAUAUAAAUAUAUCACUUAAAUAAUAAUGAUAAGAUUUAAUAUUAAUUCUGUCAUUACUGAAAGAAUUACAAAUUUUAUAUGACGUGCAAACGUAUCAUUAUAUUCUUGAUAUUUGAAACAUGAAUAAAGCAACAAAUGUAUCAUAUUUUUAUUUUGGUGUUGUGGUUCUCUAAAAAUUGUUGAAAGCAGCAGCUGUGAAGAGUCAACGGUUGACCUUGAUUCUGUGAGUUGGAUUUGUUGAGCUGGCAAAACUGUUAUGUUGAAGAAUAGCAGCGCAUGUGCAUUGAAUAGUUGCAUCUUCUAGAAGCUUAAUGUGAUUGGUUCACAAUUGCUAUAUUCACGGAUCAAUUUUGAUUACUUCCGUGUAAUACCCCUUAGGCUAGCUGUCAUUAUUUUUUGUCUCUGUAUGUAAACUAGCAAAGCUCUGUAUUUCAUUUUCAUUCAAGUCAUCAUUAUCAAUAAAGACCUGAUUCUCAUACUCUGUUUGCAUUUGACAGCAAUUCUUAAGAAUUUAAGUAAAAAUUAGCUUAAUUCUUUUCAUUGUACUCGUUGCUUCUCUUCCUCUUUUCGCCAACGACAAUGGGUAACCUAAUCUCAACCUUCUUACCAGCAGACUUAUUUGAUCGAACUUCAAACUGCGUUGGUGAACAAGCAAAUUAUGUAUGGGGUCUCGAAAAAAACCUUCGGGUCUUGGAGACUGAAUUGCACAAAUUGACUCGAGCAAGGGACGAUCUGAAGACCAAGGUUGAGGUCGAAGAACAGCGACGUCGAACCAGACGAACGAACCAGGUCGCAGGGUGGCUUGAAGAUGUGCAAAAACUGGAAACUGAAUUUACCGAGCUGGAACGAGUUAGAGCUCAUGAAAUCGAUAGAUUGUGCCUUGGAGGCCUCUGUUCCAAAAACUUCGUUUCAAGCUACAAUUACGGGACUCAGGUGGUCGAGUUGACGGAUCGAGUGAUCAAUUUAAAGAAAGACGGAGAAAAAAUUGAAGUCGUUGUUGAGAAGGCGCCAGAUGGUGCAGCAAUUGAAUUACCUCUUGAUCACACAGUUGUUGGUCAAGAACUAUUACUUGAUCAAGUUUGGAGAUGUAUCACUGAUCAGGAAAAUAAUAGGGAAAUUAUCGGCCUGUAUGGUAUCGGGGGAGCCGGCAAAACUACCCUUUUAAAACAAGUCAACAACAACUUCUGCCAUCAACAGCAUAAUUUUGAUGUUGUUAUCUGGGCGGCUGCGUCAACACUUCAAGAUGACAUUGGAAAAAGGAUUGGCUUUUCAGAAGACCAAAGCUGGGAGAAAAAAAGUCCUCAAGACAAGGCUGUGGACAUCGCUAGCAUUUUAAGCAGAAGGAAGUUUGUGUUGUUAUUGGAUGAUAUAUGGAAACCCAUUCAUUUAACAGAAUUGGGUGUCCCUCUUCAAAAACUAAAUGAUGGGUCCAAAGUAGUCUUGACAACUCGUUCAGCUGGUGUUUGCGAUCAAAUGGACGCUGAAAAGGUGGAAGUGUAUAGUUUGGCGCAUGAUAAAGCCUGGGAAUUAUUUCAGGAGAUGGUCGACAGAUCCACUCUUGACAGUCAUACCGGUAUUCCAGAGCUAGCCGAAACCUUGGCAAGAGAGUGUGGUGGGUUGCCGCUAGCGCUUAAAACAGUGGGUCGAGCCAUGAAAAGCCAAAGGAAAGUUGGAGAUUGGAAACGUGCAAUUCACAAAAUGAGAACAUCAGCUUCUAAAUUCUCAGGUAUGAAAGAAGAGGUGUUUUCGCGUUUAAAGUUCAGCUAUGAUAGUUUGUCUACGGAUGAACUUCGUUCCUGUCUCCUGUAUUGUUGUUUAUAUCCUGAAGACUACGAAAUUCCUAAAAGGGAAUUGAUUGAUUAUUGGAUUAGUGAAGGAUUUGUAUAUGAUUUUGAUGAUGGAUGUGAUUUUAUUGAUGACCUUCUUCAAGCAUGCUUAUUGGAGGAAGAAGGCGAUGAUCAUGUAAAGAUGCACGAUAUGAUUCGUGAGAUGUCAUUAUGGAUAGCGUGCACGGUAGACAAGGAGGAGGAGAACUUUCUGGUUCGCGCUGGAGUUGAAUUGACCGAAGCACCAAAGUUUGAAGAAUGGGAAGGUGCCAAACGGGUAUCUCUGAUGGGAAAUGGAAUUAGGAGCUUAUCGGAAAUUCCCACGUGUCCGCGCCUCUUAACUUUACUUCUGGGUGGAAAUCGGAUUGAGGAGAUUACUGAUGGCUUCUUUCAAUCGAUGUCUUCUCUUAGAGUAUUAAGUCUAAGAGGAAAUUUUCCCCUAAGAACACUACCUUCAGGGAUUUCAGGUUUGGUUUCAUUACAUCAUCUUGAUCUAUCAUCGACUAACAUAACUGGGUUGCCGCAAGAGCUGAAGGCGUUGGAGAAGUUGAGAUAUUUGAACUUGGACUAUACACGGUUUUUGUCUAUAAUUCCACAUCAAUUGAUAUCUGGUUUUUCAAAGUUGGAGGUACUCAGGUUGCUUUCACGCGGUCGCUGGAGCGUAAUAGAAGGUAACGUUCUAUGUGAUGAUGCUGAACCUUUGAUGAAGGAAUUGCUGGGUUUGAAGCAUUUAAAUGUUUUAAGCUGGACCUUCCGAAGUUCACUUGCUGUCCAAAAGUUUUUGAAAUAUCCAAAGCUGGUGAGCAUCACUCAAUCUGUAAUGGUUUGCCAAUGUGAAAGUCCACCGUUCAAUGUCUUACAUCUAGCAUACAUGGAGAAUCUUCAGGAGUUA
Molecule: long non-coding RNA, 16636 nt
Filed under: Citrus maxima (pomelo)
Lineage: Eukaryota; Viridiplantae; Streptophyta; Magnoliopsida; Sapindales; Rutaceae
Description: long non-coding RNA (CMAX_LNC000888)
Source: RNAcentral